RNAcentral lists this ribosomal RNA (253 nucleotides) under uncultured bacterium. Its description in RNAcentral is "partial 16S ribosomal RNA". It matches the Rfam family "Bacterial small subunit ribosomal RNA", at positions 524 to 776 of the family's 1533-position model. The record is from RNAcentral.
UACGUAGGGGGCAAGCGUUGUCCGGAUUUAUUGGGCGUAAAGAGCGUGUAGGCGGCCAGGUAGGUCUGCUGUGAAAACUCGAGGCUUAACCUCGAGAUGUCGGCGGAAACCAUCUGGCUAGAGUCCGGAAGAGGAGAGUGGAAUUCCUGGUGUAGCGGUGAAAUGCGCAGAUAUCAGGAAGAACACCCGUGGCGAAGGCGAGUCCCUGGACAACUUCUGACGCUGAGGCACGAAAGCUAGGGGAGCAAACAGG